Molecule: long non-coding RNA, 2327 nt
Filed under: Sarcophilus harrisii (Tasmanian devil)
Lineage: Eukaryota; Metazoa; Chordata; Mammalia; Dasyuromorphia; Dasyuridae
Description: lncRNA (ENSSHAG00000020635.1)
Source: RNAcentral
GGAGGAGGAGAGAGAGGCGAGGGGGAAGAGCGCAGCGCGGGGCGCGGAGAGCUCCGGGGCUGGGUUUGCCAGGGAGCUGGGCACUGGGACCGCGGCGGUGCUGGCGGCGGCGGGCGAUGCUGCUGCUGCCUGCUUACCCCGGGCUCCGCUGCUGGGGGUAAAGGCUCAGCCAAGCCGAAGCCAACGGGCAAGAGAGUCCGAAGCGGGACUGGAGUUGGAGGAGAGAGAGAGAGGGAAAGAGGAGGAGGUGGUGGAGGAGGAUGGGCUGCGGGGGGAGUCGCGCCGAUGCCAUUGAGCCCCGCUACUACGAGAGCUGGACCCGAGAGACCGAGUCCACCUGGCUGACUAACACGGACACGGACCUGCAGCUCUCGGCAACCACGACAGCCGCCGGGCUCAGCCCCGGGGAACCGGACAGCGGCCCAGAGACUGGCGGCCUGCGGGACCAGGGCUCCCUGUACACGGAUUAGGAAGCUGAAAAUCAGGAAGAUUAAACAAUUUGCCCAAAUCCCUGGUCAACAGCAGAAGAGGUGCAAAAAUCCAGGUGAAAAAAGAGCCCAAGCAGAUGCCAGCAAGAGAAGUCACCAUCAGUGUUACCAAAAGCAUCCAACAAAUGGACAGAUAUAGAAGAAUUGAGUGAAUUAGCUGUGUUUUCAAAUCAAAGAAGAUGGACACUAGCAUCAUUUGGCAGUGCUUUGCUGAUGUCUCAAUGGAAUGUAAAGAAGGAUGGAUGCUCCCAAUUGAAUAGGCUAAACUGCUGAGUGCCUUGGGUUACUUUGUGUCUCUUACCUGGUAGCCAACAGUUGCCAUCAGUGUUUGGACAUUCACUGAUCUGUGUUUAUCUAAGGUUUUGGCACAGUACUCCUAUAUGAUAAUAAAUUGCUGAUGGGCCAAUUGGUUUUUCCCCCCUCUCUCCAGGUUCUAUCAGAUGUUCUACCCCAGGUCUGACAUCUGGAAUUGCAGUGGUCUACUGCAGUCACAAGUCACUUUUUGAAAAGGAAAAUGACAGGGGAAGAGUGUAACAAUAGGGGAGAGUUAUUACCCAAGAGCAGUCACUAAAUAUUUCUGGGUCAUCACUCUAGUGGUAUUUUUAUACUUGUGUCCCAAAACUUUCAGCAUUUCAGUUGGCUUCAAAAUUGGCUUUUUUCCAACUCCCCAAAGAGAGAAACCAAGAAAUAGGAAAUCAUCAAUUUUGUUUUUAUUUCAGCAUGAGAGUAAAGAUUCAGAUUCAUCCCAGUGCUAUAAUGAUGUCUCUUUUUCCCAUGAGGAAGCAAUCCUUGAUAGGGGAGGGAAAACAUUUCCUGUGUCAUCCUUCUCCUACAGGAGGUGCUAUGUUAGCUCCAAAGAGUAAUUGCAGAGCAUGGGGUCCACUCAGCCAAUCUGGGGAGCUGUUUUGGAUCAUUUGGUACAAAUGAAUUCAUUUUUCCUGUUUACGAAAUCUGUAUUCUUCCAUAGGAUCAGAAAAGUGGAAAGAACAUUGGGCUUAGAGCCAAAUUCCACCUCUAUAAUAUGUCUUACCUAUGUGACCAUAGGGAAGUCAUUUCUCUCUCUGAGCUUCAUCUAUAAAUGAGGUAGUUGAAUGAAGUGGCAUAUAUGGUCCCUUCUAGCUCUAAAUCUACGUACAUGUCAUCUAGAAUUGGAAAAGAUCUUAUUGGUCAAUCAGAUCCAACCCACUUACUUUAUAGGGAAGGAAAUAGAAGCCCAGAAAUAUGAGUAACUUGCUCAUAUUCACAGAAGUUAAGAGGCAUAGAGCUUGGAUUUGAACCUGGAUCCCCUUUACACCUAGCACUCUGUCCCCUGAGAACAAUGGUUUUCAGGAGAGUUGUAUGAUAACACUAAAAUAACUAAUCAAAGGCUAUUUAUCAUCCUAUGAAUUAAGAAAUCAAGGAACAUUUCAGUGGCACAAACUGAUUUUCCCUUUGUGCUGCCUUCUAGAUAAAUAACCUAAAGCAGAUCCCAGGGAUUAUGUCAUCUUGGAACCUAGGAAGUCAUCAUGUUAAGAAACUAUCAGAAUAAUGUGCAUUUACUCUUCUUAGAAAAUUUAUACAGUAAAAAAAAUAAACUUUUGGUAGACAACUAUUUUCUAGCAGUCCUAUAAAAUGAUGGAGAAAUGUAUAUAUUUAGCUGAAAACAUUUUUUCCCCACCAAUAAUAUUACAUGCAUUUCUAAGCUGUGUAACACACCUGGGAUCUUCCUAAGGGAGAAAUAAGGGUUCUUUCAUCUGCUGCUGUUUAAAUAAACUCAAUUUUUAGCUGAAGUAGGCAAUCUGUGUGUUUAUGUAACCUAUGUUUAUGUAACCUAUGCACAUGCAGGUGAAAAUACAGUUA